UCAAAACAUUGUCUUAUGAAUAAAAUAUUAGAUAAUACCUGCCCAGUGACACUCUGUUUAACGGCCGCGGUAUCCUAACCGUGCAAAGGUAGCAUAAUCAUUUGCCUAUUAAUUGUAGGCUAGAAUGAAGGGGUUAACGAAAUAAAAGCUGUCUCAAUUAAUUAACUAAAAAUUAUUUUCUAUCUGAAGAAAGGUAGAUAAUCUCGAAGGACAAGAAGACCCUAUAGAGCUUAAUUUUAACUAUAGAAAUAUACUAUAUAAAUAUUCGGUUGGGGCGACCCAGGGAUGAUUAAUCACCCAUUAAACAAAAGAUUUAUAAAUCUAAUAAAUGACCCUCUAAAGAUCACAAGAACAAGCUACCUUAGGGAUAACAGACUAAUCCCACUUAAGAGUCCUUAUCAAUAGUGGGGUUUGGCACCUCGAUGUUGGCUUAGGGUAUCUCUAUAGCGCAAAAGUUAUAUAAAGAUGGUUUGUUCAACCAAUAAUUCCCUACGUGAUCUUUU
Molecule: ribosomal RNA, 503 nt
Filed under: Amynthas sp. FJ201108-06
Lineage: Eukaryota; Metazoa; Annelida; Clitellata; Crassiclitellata; Megascolecidae
Description: partial 16S ribosomal RNA
Rfam family: Bacterial large subunit ribosomal RNA
Source: RNAcentral